RNAcentral lists this ribosomal RNA (429 nucleotides) under Verrucomicrobiota bacterium. RNAcentral's name for it is "Verrucomicrobia bacterium partial 16S ribosomal RNA". It matches the Rfam family "Bacterial small subunit ribosomal RNA", at positions 355 to 776 of the family's 1533-position model. Lineage: Bacteria; Pseudomonadati; Verrucomicrobiota. The record is from RNAcentral.
UAGGGAAUCUUCGGCAAUGGGGGGAACCCUGACCGAGCAACGCCGCGUGAGUGAAGAAGGUUUUCGGAUCGUAAAGCUCUGUUGUUAAGGAAGAACGAGUGUGAGAAUGGAAAGUUCAUGCUGUGACGGUACUUAACCAGAAAGGGACGGCUAACUACGUGCCAGCAGCCGCGGUAAUACGUAGGUCCCGAGCGUUGUCCGGAUUUAUUGGGCGUAAAGCGAGCGCAGGCGGUUAGAAAAGUCUGAAGUGAAAGGCAGUGGCUCAACCAUUGUAGGCUUUGGAAACUGUUUAACUUGAGUGCAGAAGGGGAGAGUGGAAUUCCAUGUGUAGCGGUGAAAUGCGUAGAUAUAUGGAGGAACACCGGUGGCGAAAGCGGCUCUCUGGUCGGUAACUGACGCUGGGGCUCGAAAGCGUGGGGAGCGAACAGG